RNAcentral lists this ribosomal RNA (349 nucleotides) under uncultured Mycobacterium sp. RNAcentral describes it as "bacterial SSU rRNA". It matches the Rfam family "Bacterial small subunit ribosomal RNA", at positions 8 to 359 of the family's 1533-position model. Lineage: Bacteria; Bacillati; Actinomycetota; Actinomycetes; Mycobacteriales; Mycobacteriaceae. The record is from RNAcentral.
AGAGUUUGAUCCUGGCUCAGGACGAACGCUGGCGGCGUGCUUAACACAUGCAGGUCGAACGGAAAGGCCUCUUCGGAGGUACUCGAGUGGCGAACGGGUGAGUAACACGUGGGCAAUCUGCCCUGCACUUCGGGAUAAGCCUGGGAAACUGGGUCUAAUACCGGAUAGGACCUCAAGACGCAUGUCUUCUGGUGGAAAGCUUUUGCGGUGUGGGAUGGGCCCGCGGCCUAUCAGCUUGUUGGUGGGGUGACGGCCUACCAAGGCGACGACGGGUAGCCGGCCUGAGAGGGUGUCCGGCCACACUGGGACUGAGAUACGGCCCAGACUCCUACGGGAGGCAGCAGAAGGG